This 492-nucleotide ribosomal RNA is filed under the name uncultured bacterium. RNAcentral's name for it is "partial 16S ribosomal RNA". It matches the Rfam family "Bacterial small subunit ribosomal RNA", at positions 29 to 507 of the family's 1533-position model. The record is from RNAcentral.
AGUGAACGCUGGCGGUAGGCCUAACACAUGCAAGUCGAACGGCAGCACAGUAAGAGCUUGCUCUUACGGGUGGCGAGUGGCGGACGGGUGAGGAAUACAUCGGACUCUACUUUUUCGUGGGGGAUCACGUAGGUAAACUUACGCUAAUACCGCAUACGACCUACGGGUGAAAGCAUGGGAUCUUCGGACCUUGCGCGAUUGAAUGAGCCGAUGUCGGAUUAGCUAGUUGGCGGGGUAAAGGCCCACCAAGGCGACGAUCCGUAGCUGGUCUGAGAGGAUGAUCAGCGACACUGGAACUGAGACACGGUCCAGACUCCUACGGGAGGCAGCAGUGGGGAAUAUUGGACAAUGGGCGCAAGCAUGAUCCAGCCAUACCGCGUGGGUGAAGAAGGCCUUCGGGUUGUAAAGCCCUUUUGUUGGGAAAGAAAAGCAGCAGGUUAAUACCACGCUGUUCUGACGGUACCCAAAGAAUAAGCACCGGCUAACUUCGUG